AUCGAAUCCUCUUCUCUGGUUUUCUCCCCUUCUCAUCUCCCUCGGUUUGUGUUGACGAACCGUUCUUUUCUUCAUCCUUCUUUGGUUUCUCGAGUGGUCUACGUACCAUAUUAGAGUGGUUUUUCGAAACCAUAUUGAGGUGUUAUUCUCGAGCGAUUUCUGGUGGUGCAGCCUUUAAUCGUACAGAUAGAAUCUGGGCUGUUUUAUCCUGGAGACGGCGCGGUUGCUAGUCUACCUUGCACAAUUUAGGUAGUGCCGCGAAACGUCUUAAAGAAAGCGACCUGGUCGUGACUCAGCCCGGUAAUAGUUUCAAAGCUCUGUCGUAAUUUUAAAUUCCAAAGCAACAUGAUGUCAUGAGCCUGUUUGUGUGUUAAUUUCAAGUUUUCAAUUAAACAGAAGGACUGUGUAGUGAAAUAUUUGUAGUUAUGGACUAAAUCAAAAGGUUCGUAAGUUAUGGUGCCAAUAUGCAAAAUGGUCAAACUUCAAGACGGUUGUAUGUAUUUCCCCCCUAUUUGAUUUGUAAAUUGGUUAAGUUUUUACUACUUUGUUUGUGUAUGCAUUUAUUUACUUACCUCUUCACCUGAUGGGAAAAUGCUUUAGUUGGCGGCAGUCGUGAAAGCGGUAUAUGCCUUUGUUGACAUUAUAAUGCAAUGAAUAUAUGUUGCUCAAAUUUGGUUGAAGUGUUGAACUUUGGUAUCAUCAUGAAACGUGCCCGUAAAUUUGUUUCCCUUUGCUUUUGUUUUUACCUGAAAUAAAGCUUCUGAUGCCUUAGUUAGGGUAAUGUUUUGAAAAUUCUGUUCACAAGAACAAUAUUUUGGAGUGAGGGUUUUCCUAGAGGAGGUUCCAGGCAUUCAUUGAGUUCAUUCACCUGUACCAAUAAUCCAUUUAUGCAGGCGGUACAAAUUCCAAUCCAUUACUUUUUAGUUUUAGCUGAUUUUGCUUACUUGGUUUGUGCUAUCAUGACAGAUUUUGCAAGAUAAAUUUUUUCAUAAUGCACAUUUUUGUCAGUUGUGGGUUCCUUGAAAUCGGAACUUAUUAAAUAUUUUAGUCAAUUAUGGAAAUGCACAGAAAAACCUCUGAAAGGACUAAUGAUUUGGUUAUUUGGGGUGGAAAAUUGGGAGGGGAUGUAUUGUGAAGGGUGAAUAAUCACUCAUUCUAUAGAGGUCAAAUUUUGUGGGGUGAAAUCUAAAUGAGUUGUAUUCUACUAUCAAUUGCUUGACCUAAGUUGUACCAAGAAAGUUUAAAGGAUAUAAAAAUAAACACUGAUGAUUGUGGUGAAAUUCUUAUGGUAAUAGGUACUCUGCAAGGAUGGUUUUGAUUUUGCGGAAGCUCUAUUCUUGACGAGGUAAUGUUUUUCGUGAUCACAUCAUUACCUAAAAUUGGCAGCUGAAACCCAUUAACAUCAUUACUGUUAUAUUUUCUAAUUAUAACUCAUUUCUUUGGUCCCUGCAGAUGGCUUUAUUAUAAACUGAGCAGAAAGUUGAAGAGGAUGAGGAGCCUGAAACUACUGCCAAUAAAAGAGACAGAAGAAAAUUAGAAAUUGACAAUUUUAUUUACUUCAAGGCUAGGGUGCCACAAAGAAUGAUGUAAUAUUCAAUUUUGGUUUAAUGUGAUGUCAUUAUUUGGAGAGGUGGUGUUAAGAACUUUAUGCACACAUUUUGCAUAAAUGAUCACCUUGUAAAUUAUAUAAUCAAUGCAAAUAUGCUUGCGCACAAAAAUCAGUUGCAC
Molecule: long non-coding RNA, 1728 nt
Filed under: Medicago truncatula (barrel medic)
Lineage: Eukaryota; Viridiplantae; Streptophyta; Magnoliopsida; Fabales; Fabaceae
Description: lncRNA gene17050
Source: RNAcentral